CACGAAGUUGGAAUUGCUAGUAAUCGCGGAUCAGCAUGCCGCGGUGAAUACGUUCCGGGUCUUGUACACACCGCCCGUCACACCAUGGGAGCUGGUAACACCCGAAGUCAGUAGUCUAACCGCAAGGAGGACGCUGCCGAAGGUGGGAUUAGCGACUGGGGUGAAGUCGUAACAAGGUAUC
This 181-nucleotide ribosomal RNA is filed under the name uncultured bacterium. RNAcentral describes it as "partial 16S ribosomal RNA". It matches the Rfam family "Bacterial small subunit ribosomal RNA", at positions 1319 to 1500 of the family's 1533-position model. The record is from RNAcentral.